AAUUCCUGUGAUGAACAUUUAAUAAAAAUGAAAGUAGUGGCCUGAUUUUCGUUGAUGAUGAUCUUGUUCUGAGGGAUU
Molecule: small nucleolar RNA, 78 nt
Organism: Andrographis paniculata
Lineage: Eukaryota; Viridiplantae; Streptophyta; Magnoliopsida; Lamiales; Acanthaceae
Product: small nucleolar RNA R21
Exons: 1
Source: RefSeq, a predicted model, not a curated record